RNAcentral lists this ribosomal RNA (253 nucleotides) under uncultured prokaryote. RNAcentral's name for it is "partial 16S ribosomal RNA". It matches the Rfam family "Bacterial small subunit ribosomal RNA", at positions 524 to 776 of the family's 1533-position model. The record is from RNAcentral.
UACGUAGGCAGCGAGCGUUGUUCGGAGUUACUGGGCGUAAAGCGUGCGUAGGCGGUCUUGUAAGUUUGGUGUGAAAUCUCCCGGCUCAACUGGGAGGGUGCGCCGAAAACUGCAAGGCUGGAGUAUGGGAGAGGUAGGCGGAAUUGACGGUGUAGCGGUGAAAUGCUUAGAUAUCGUCAAGAACACCGAUAGUGAAGACAGCUUACUAAACUAUAACUGACGCUGAGGCACGAAAGUGUGGGGAUCAAACAGG